Molecule: ribosomal RNA, 440 nt
Filed under: uncultured bacterium
Lineage: Bacteria
Description: partial 16S ribosomal RNA
Rfam family: Bacterial small subunit ribosomal RNA
Source: RNAcentral
CCUACGGGAGGCAGCAGUGGGGAAUAUUGGGCAAUGGACGCAAGUCUGACCCAGCAACGCCGCGUGGGUGAAGAAGCGCCUCGGCGCGUAAAGCCCUGUCAGCAGGGAAGAAAAUGACGGUACCUGAAGAAGAAGCCCCGGCUAACUACGUGCCAGCAGCCGCGGUAAUACGUAGGGGGCAAGCGUUAUCCGGAUUUACUGGGUGUAAAGGGGGCGCAGACGGCGAUGCAAGCAAGGAGUGAAAGCCCGGGGCCCAACCCCGGGACUGCUCUUGGAACUGCGUGGCUGGAGUGCAGGAGGGGCAGGCGGAAUUCCUGGUGUAGCGGUGAAAUGCGUAGAUAUCAGGAGGAACACCGGUGGCGAAGGCGGCCUGCUGGACUGCAACUGACGUUGAGGCCCGAAAGCGUGGGGAGCAAACAGGAUUAGAUACCCUUGUAGUC